AACCCGUCUUGAAACACGGACCAAGGAGUUCAACAUGCGCGCUAGUUGUUGGGUCUAACAACCCGCUAGCAAAGUGAAAGCAAGACACAGUUUCACUGUGUAUUGGCGAGAUCCCGUAAGCUCAGCCUUAAGCAAGCUGAGCACGGGCGCACCGCCGGCUCAUCAAUGGCUCGCGUGGCCCUGGUGAAGCUUGAGCGUGCACGUUGAGACCCGAAAGAUGGUGAACUAUGCCUGGGCAGCGCGAAGCCAGGGGAAACUCUGGUGGAGGCGCGUAGCGAUUCUGACGUGCAAAUCGAUCGUCUGACCUGGGUAUAGGGGCGAAAGACUAAUCGAACCAUCUAGUAGCUGGUUCCCUCCGAAGUUUCCCUCAGGAUAGCUGGCACUCGGAGAACGUAGUUUGUCCCGGUAAAGCGAAUGAUUAGAGGUCUUGGGGUCGAAACGGCCUCAACCUAUUCUCAAACUUUAAAUGGGUGAGUGUCUGCCUUGCUUAAAUGCUCAAGCUGAAGUGUAGACGAUGAAUACGAGCGCCUAUUGGGCCACUUUUGGUAAGCAGAACUGGCGCUGUGGGAUGAACCGAACGUCGAUUUAUGGCGCCCGACGAGACGCUCAUGAGAUCCCAGAAAAGGUGUUGGUUGCUAUAGACAGCAGGACGGUGGCCAUGGAAGUCGGAACCCGCUAAGGAGUGUGUAACAACUCACCUGCCGAAGCAACUAGCCCUGAAAAUGGAUGGCGCUAGAGCGUCUGGCCUAUAAUCGACCGUUGCAGCAGCAGCAACGUAAAGUCAAGCUGCAACGAGUAGGAGGGUCGCGGCGGUGGCGUUGAAAGCUUACGGGCGUGAGCCUGGCUGGAGCCGCCGCCGGUGCAGAUCUUGGUGGUAGUAGCAAAUACUCAAGCGAGAACCUUGAGGACUGAAGUGGGGAAGGGUUCCAUGUGAACAGCAGUUGAACAUGGGUCAGUCGAUCCUAAGGUAUCGGCGAAAGCCGUUCAGAAGCGGUGUGGAUAGUGUCCUCGUGGCACUGGUUACUGUGUUGUGUUUACGGUUGAUGCAGUGAUCACCGCACCUACCGAAAGGGAAUCGGGUUAAUAUUUCCGAACUCGGCAUCGGAUAUUGGCUAGCUUCGGGCUUAGCACAUGCGGUAACGCAAAUGAACUUGGUGACGCUGACAAAUGCCCUGGAGGGCGUUGUCUUUUCUUCAUAAGGCGCAGGCUCCCUGGAAUCGGAUCAUCCGGCGAUAGGGAGAUGGCGUCCGUAGAGCAUCGCGGUUCUUGUGAUGUCCGGUGCGCAUUUGUCGGUCCUUGAAAAACCAAGGGAAAGUGUGAUUUUCGUGCCGGAUCGUACCCAUAUCCGCAGCAGUCUCC
This 1359-nucleotide ribosomal RNA is filed under the name Mesobiotus harmsworthi. RNAcentral describes it as "partial 28S ribosomal RNA". It matches the Rfam family "Eukaryotic large subunit ribosomal RNA", at positions 646 to 1868 of the family's 3401-position model. Lineage: Eukaryota; Metazoa; Tardigrada; Eutardigrada; Parachela; Macrobiotidae. The record is from RNAcentral.